RNAcentral lists this ribosomal RNA (497 nucleotides) under uncultured bacterium. RNAcentral's name for it is "partial 16S ribosomal RNA". It matches the Rfam family "Bacterial small subunit ribosomal RNA", at positions 28 to 507 of the family's 1533-position model. The record is from RNAcentral.
GAUGAACGCUGGCGGCGUGCCUAAUACAUGCAAGUCGAGCGAACAGACGAGGAGCUUGCUCCUCUGACGUUAGCGGCGGACGGGUGAGUAACACGUGGAUAACCUACCUAUAAGACUGGGAUAACUUCGGGAAACCGGAGCUAAUACCGGAUAAUAUAUUGAACCGCAUGGUUCAAUAGUGAAAGACGGUUUUGCUGUCACUUAUAGAUGGAUCCGCGCCGCAUUAGCUAGUUGGUAAGGUAACGGCUUACCAAGGCGACGAUGCGUAGCCGACCUGAGAGGGUGAUCGGCCACACUGGAACUGAGACACGGUCCAGACUCCUACGGGAGGCAGCAGUAGGGAAUCUUCCGCAAUGGGCGAAAGCCUGACGGAGCAACGCCGCGUGAGUGAUGAAGGUCUUCGGAUCGUAAAACUCUGUUAUUAGGGAAGAACAAAUGUGUAAGUAACUAUGCACGUCUUGACGGUACUUAAUCAGAAAGCCACGGCUAACUACGUG